Molecule: ribosomal RNA, 388 nt
Filed under: Bacillus sp. A-R-D-29-1
Lineage: Bacteria; Bacillati; Bacillota; Bacilli; Caryophanales; Bacillaceae
Description: bacterial SSU rRNA
Rfam family: Bacterial small subunit ribosomal RNA
Source: RNAcentral
CAAGUUACCGGAGUAACUGCCGNUACCUUGACGGUACCUGACCAGAAAGCCACGGCUAACUACGUGCCAGCAGCCGCGGUAAUACGUAGGUGGCAAGCGUUGUCCGGAAUUAUUGGGCGUAAAGCGCGCGCAGGCGGUUCCUUAAGUCUGAUGUGAAAGCCCCCGGCUCAACCGGGGAGGGUCAUUGGAAACUGGGGAACUUGAGUGCAGAAGAGAAGAGUGGAAUUCCACGUGUAGCGGUGAAAUGCGUAGAGAUGUGGAGGAACACCAGUGGCGAAGGCGACUCUUUGGUCUGUAACUGACGCUGAGGCGCGAAAGCGUGGGGAGCAAACAGGAUUAGAUACCCUGGUAGUCCACGCCGUAAACGAUGAGUGCUAAGUGUUAGAGG